RNAcentral lists this ribosomal RNA (505 nucleotides) under uncultured bacterium. Its description in RNAcentral is "partial 16S ribosomal RNA". It matches the Rfam family "Bacterial small subunit ribosomal RNA", at positions 28 to 507 of the family's 1533-position model. The record is from RNAcentral.
GACGAACGCUGGCGGCGUGCCUAAUACAUGCAAGUAGAGCGCACAGUUUAUACCGUAGCUUGCUCCACCAUAGACUGUGAGUUGCGAACGGGUGAGUAACGCGUAGGUAACCUGCCUGGUAGCGGGGGAUAACUAUUGGAAACGAUAGCUAAUACCGCAUAAUAUUGAUUAUUGCAUGAUAAUUGAUUGAAAGAUGCUAUUGCAUCACUACCAGAUGGACCUGCGUUGUAUUAGCUAGUAGGUGAGGUAACGGCUCACCUAGGCGACGAUACAUAGCCGACCUGAGAGGGUGAUCGGCCACACUGGGACUGAGACACGGCCCAGACUCCUACGGGAGGCAGCAGUAGGGAAUCUUCGGCAAUGGACGAAAGUCUGACCGAGAAACGCCGCGUGAGUGAAGAAGGUUUUCGGAUCGUAAAGCUCUGUUGUAAGAGAAGAACGGGUGUGAGAGUGGAAAGUUCACACUGUGACGGUAUCUUACCAGAAAGGGACGGCUAACUACGUG